Non-coding RNA from Agelaius phoeniceus (red-winged blackbird), 912 nucleotides. Lineage: Eukaryota; Metazoa; Chordata; Aves; Passeriformes; Icteridae. The record is from RefSeq and is a predicted model, not a curated record.
CAGAGCCCCCCAGCACUGGCACUCACGGUCUGGAUGCGGCACUGCUGGCCGUGGAGCUGGAGAACUGGCGUCUGGAAGAUGAACUGUUGGCACUGAAGGUCAGAAGGGAGAGGAGAGCAGAUGCUGGCUUACGGGCAGCCCAGCGGCACACGCAGGAACUGGCGCGGCUCCAGGCAGAGGUGGGAAUGCUGCGAUGCCACGCAGAGCAGAUGAGGCCAUGGCUGCACCCCUCUGUCUGCCCAUACCCUGCAGGGCCCCCGCUGCCACCAGCCCUUGCUGUGCCAGAACUUUUCAUGGAGCGCCCCAGGGCAGCACUGGGGCCUGGCAGACCCACAGCCCAUGUGGCCCCUGGACACCCCCUCACCCCCUUUGUGGCCCUGGAGGACCCUCCUCCUGCUCAGGAGCCCCCAGCACAAGACAGGGCUCCCCAAAGGUGAGCCAGGAACAGGCCAUGGCCCCACUGGACUGCCCUGCCACCCCCCUCCACCAGCAAAGUGGGGCUUUAGUAACUGUCAGGGUGAUGAAGGCAAAAGCUGCGUUCCAGCUGCAGAGAUUGGUUCAGGGACCAGCUGUGCAGCUGGUACCAGGAUCCCAUGGUGCUGGGAUGGGUGGAAAUGUAUGGGAUUACUGAUGGGACCAAAGAGGCUCUGUCUAGGCAUAUCAGCAGGAAAAGGACAGGCAAAGCCCCAAGCCAGCAGCAAACAGCUCAGUCUCCACCUCAGGACAGAGCCCACAGCCAAAGGAGUGGUUCAACCCCUCCUGCUCACAAUGGUGGUUUGGGGACAGUCAGAGGGCACCGAGGGGCACAAUAAAUUCCCUGUCCUCAGGCACAUCCCCAUAUCCAGCCCUCUGUAGGGAAAGCCUAACCCAGGGCAUGUACAGCUCAGCCCUGGGAACCAGCACAGUAGUUAC